AAGAAGGUGGGAUCAAAAGGAUUUUGAGCAGCAUUCUAUGCCACUUAGUAUUUGACAUCUUUGAGUUGUUCUACCUCAACUUGAAUGCAAACUGAAACAUCAGGUAAAAAAUGGUGGCAACAGGAUACGCUUACUUAUCAUUGAUUCUACAUCAUAUUUCAUAACACCCAUCCUUGGAGGCAAAAAUUCACAAGGACUACUGUUGAUGAUUUCAACUGGAAUUCUGCUGAAGAAAAUAGCAAAUGAAUACAACCUGACAGUAACAUUGCAUAUUUUGUGCUUGGCUGCAUGAUUCCUGAAUCAUUUCUCUGUGAUGAAAUGCAUGCCUUUUUUUCCCCUAGUUUAUUUUGUUGCUACUGUUCUUAGAAAACUACCUAGUUUUAAUCUUGAAUGAAUAUAAACUACUAUUUCUUGUGUAGGACAUGUUCGUGAUCUGAGCUCCAGUUGUGUGUGGCACGACGAGUAGUCUGGAUCAAGCCUUAUGUAACUUGCUCCUAUCUGGUAAUAUCUCAAGCUUGAAAUGCAAAUAGAACACUAGAUGCAUGAUCCAUGAUUCGUUAUCUGUUCUUAUUAGGCAAAGCUUAUUAUCAUCAUAUUUUCACUACUUUCCAUACAAUUUUUCUUAAAAAUUUUGACCCAUGUCAUGUUAUAAAAAGCAUUGAUCAGAUAACCUUGUAGAUGAAAUAUGUCUAUGUUUUUAUAUAGAGAUGUUAAAAGUAUAUUUUGAUUGUCCGAUGUGCAAGCAUUGAUGUUUUCUUACAAAAUUAUAUCGAGUGCAUGCUCAACAAAAACCCUAUAAUACGGAGGUCAGGAAAUGAGUUUGGAGGAUUCAUAAGAUUGAGUAGAAUGCAUCCCGAUCUCUUGUAGUGAUGUAACAUUUGACGAUGUAAGAUCCGUGGAAGGUGGAUUGGAAUCUUGGAUGUUACGAGUAGUAUAGUUAUGAGCUUUAUUAAUCAAGUGGAUGCUUUGAUAGACAUAGCAUGGCUGAUAAGUUUACCUUCAAGAACAGCCCAAAUUGAAUGAUCAGAUAUAGGGUUUCCUUGAUCCACAGGCGACACUGCUCUAAGAAGCGUGGUGACGGCUUUCCUGCUACGCCAAUACCUUUUCCUUUACUGGUACUGUCAGUGGGCCGGUCCCAAACUGGCUUCAAUAGCAAGGCAGGUACUGAGCAGCAGUAGUAAGGGUGUCUUGGAGCAGUGUGACUGACUUGUAGGAUAAGCCAAUCAAGUCGCUGGCGUACAAGAAAAAGAAUCCCUAAAUCACCGACCGUCCAUUUGAUAUCUAACGGCCCUCUGAUGCAAAUUCCUGUUGAGGCAUUGCAGUUUGAUGCUUCUGCAUUUGAAGUGUUCGAAUAACCGAUGUUGAAAUGGCUAUUAGCAAAUUGCAUUGAUCUUUCCA
Non-coding RNA from Musa acuminata subsp. malaccensis (wild Malaysian banana), 1398 nucleotides. The record is from RefSeq and is a predicted model, not a curated record. NCBI's taxonomy places the organism in Eukaryota, Viridiplantae, Streptophyta, Magnoliopsida, Zingiberales, Musaceae.